Molecule: ribosomal RNA, 664 nt
Filed under: uncultured bacterium
Lineage: Bacteria
Description: bacterial SSU rRNA
Rfam family: Bacterial small subunit ribosomal RNA
Source: RNAcentral
UUGGGCGUAAGCGCGCGCAGGCGGCUUCUUAAGUCUGAUGUGAAAGCCCACGGCUCAACCGUGGAGGGUCAUUGGAAACUGGGAGGCUUGAGUGCAGAAGAGGAGAGCGGAAUUCCACGUGUAGCGGUGAAAUGCGUAGAGAUGUGGAGGAACACCAGUGGCGAAGGCGGCUCUCUGGUCUGUAACUGACGCUGAGGCGCGAAAGCGUGGGUAGCGAACAGGAUUAGAUACCCUGGUAGUCCACGCCGUAAACGAUGAGUGCUAAGUGUUAGGGGGUUUCCGCCCCUUAGUGCUGCAGCAAACGCAUUAAGCACUCCGCCUGGGGAGUACGGCCGCAAGGCUGAAACUCAAAGGAAUUGACGGGGGCCCGCACAAGCGGUGGAGCAUGUGGUUUAAUUCGAAGCAACGCGAAGAACCUUACCAGGUCUUGACAUCCCGCUGGCCGGUCUGGAGACAGAUCUUUCCCUUCGGGGACAGCGGUGACAGGUGGUGCAUGGUUGUCGUCAGCUCGUGUCGUGAGAUGUUGGGUUAAGUCCCGCAACGAGCGCAACCCUUGAUCUUAGUUGCCAGCAUUCAGUUGGGCACUCUAAGGUGACUGCCGGUGACAAACCGGAGGAAGGUGGGGAUGACGUCAAAUCAUCAUGCCCCUUAUGACCUGGGCUAC